Non-coding RNA from Oreochromis niloticus (Nile tilapia), 1266 nucleotides. The record is from the annotation of a RefSeq genome assembly. NCBI's taxonomy places the organism in Eukaryota, Metazoa, Chordata, Actinopteri, Cichliformes, Cichlidae.
CGACAUCAUCCAGUAGGCGGUGCUCUCCUUCUGCACUGUGUUCAACCAUUGUGUCAAUAAUAAGUGCUGCUGUGAAGAGAACAAUUCUCAGACUGAAUGUUGAACAUCAGCUAGUUUCUCCUGUUGAUUGAAACCUUGUUGUACAGAUGGAACAUUGGCUGUGGAUUAUUCUUGCUGCUCUUUUCUUUGAGUGUAACGGAGAAGACAAAGUGAUCCAGGAACAAGGAGAUGUCAUUGCUGCUGAAGGAGACACAGUUACACUUGGAUGUAGAUAUGAAACCAGUGACCCAGGCCCGACUUUAUUCUGGUACAAACAGGAUGGAAACAACAGCCCCAAAUUAAUCCUGAGUCGUGUUAGCAGGAAUGAUGGAAACACAGCAGAUGAGUUCAAGGAGAGAUUUUCAUCCACACUGGAUUCCAGCAUCAGAUCAGUUCCUCUGAAGAUCCAGAAGCUUCAGCUGUCUGACUCUGCUGUGUACUACUGUGCUCUGCAGCCCACAGUGACAGGAAACACCAAAACUCUGUACAAAAACCUUUGGAGCAAAGACAACAGAAUACUCCACAACAUCCACUAGAGGGAGCCACACACUGUUACACCUCUGAUUCUUGUGUCAUUGGACUGAUGACAAAUCUUCAAUCUUUAUCUCCAACAGAAAUCAAACUGAUCAAUAACAACAUGAUAAAUGAUUGAUCACUGAUCCCACAGAGGUGGUUGUAGGUAAAGUACAAACAUCCAGGACUUGUUUCAUCGACUUCUUUACUCAAAAGUGAAAAAGUGCAGAGUUAACUGAACCUUGUGCUACAUUAAUGUAAAUGAAUGAUAUCAGCACACAGGAACACAAACUUUAUUUCAGUGUAAAUCUGAAUUAUAAUAAAAUCACUUUCUUAGAUUGAAUCAGUGAAGUGGAACAUGAGCAGAGAAAAAGGGGGAAAAUAAAGACAUUUCUAUUUUCUGUUGGCUCCAUUAGAGAGUGACUGUGCCUCUAACAGGAACAUGAGCAGAGAACAGGGUGAAGUGGAUUCAGCAGGUGGGAACCCUAAAAUCAGCUGUAGUGGCUCAGUGUGGGCAAAAGAAUGACAGCUCACAAUCAUUUCUGCUGAGAGCUCCAGUAGAUUUGAUUCAAGUACAGGCUGUGAUCAGCUGAUCUGAGCUUCACUGCUCUUUGUAAUGUGAAUUCAACCAGAUGUGAGCAGCUGUUUGCGAGGAUGCUGUCCGUGUGCUCCAGCUUCCUCCCACAGUCCAAAGACAUGCGCUUACUGGGGUUG